UGAUUUGAUACUUUAAAUAAAAGAAUUGAUUUGCGUUCAAAAAAUGGAUAAGAUAUGUGCCUCAGAUCAA
RNAcentral lists this transfer RNA (70 nucleotides) under Marisa cornuarietis. Its description in RNAcentral is "tRNA-Ala". Lineage: Eukaryota; Metazoa; Mollusca; Gastropoda; Architaenioglossa; Ampullariidae. The record is from RNAcentral.